Molecule: long non-coding RNA, 231 nt
Filed under: Crocodylus porosus (Australian saltwater crocodile)
Lineage: Eukaryota; Metazoa; Chordata; Crocodylia; Crocodylidae
Description: lncRNA (ENSCPRG00005018466.1)
Source: RNAcentral
CUCUGUGCAGAAGAGAGAAAUUUCCUACAGAAACGGAAAUGGCUUGUUGCUGCUGCUCUGAAAAAGGCUAUCAGUUUAGAGGAGGAUCUACAGGACCAUGAGUUCAACAAUUUCCUGAAGGGCUUCCAGGUGCAUGCCAAAUACCUACAGAACAAAAAUUUUUGUAUAUGGAAAGCUAAAGUUUAAAGUUUGACUUUUGAUCUCAGUUGAAGACUUUGCGUGAACCUCAUC